This 467-nucleotide ribosomal RNA is filed under the name uncultured bacterium. Its description in RNAcentral is "partial 16S ribosomal RNA". It matches the Rfam family "Bacterial small subunit ribosomal RNA", at positions 28 to 506 of the family's 1533-position model. The record is from RNAcentral.
GACGAACGCUGGCGGCGUGCUUAACACAUGCAAGUCGAACGGAAAGGCCCCGCUUUUGUGGGGUGCUCGAGUGGCGAACGGGUGAGUAACACGUGAGUAACCUGCCCUUGACUUUGGGAUAACUUCAGGAAACUGGGGCUAAUACCGGAUAGGAGCUCCUGCUGCAUGGUGGGGGUUGGAAAGUUUCGGCGGUUGGGGAUGGACUCGCGGCUUAUCAGCUUGUUGGUGGGGUAGUGGCUUACCAAGGCUUUGACGGGUAGCCGGCCUGAGAGGGUGACCGGCCACAUUGGGACUGAGAUACGGCCCAGACUCCUACGGGAGGCAGCAGUGGGGAAUAUUGCACAAUGGGCGGAAGCCUGAUGCAGCAACGCCGCGUGCGGGAUGACGGCCUUCGGGUUGUAAACCGCUUUCGCCUGUGACGAAGCGUGAGUGACGGGAAUGGGUAAAGAAGCACCGGCUAACUACGU